RNAcentral lists this long non-coding RNA (618 nucleotides) under Homo sapiens (human). Its description in RNAcentral is "HSALNT0088731". The record is from RNAcentral. Lineage: Eukaryota; Metazoa; Chordata; Mammalia; Primates; Hominidae.
CCUUGGAUGUCUUUGGACUCUUUUUUGAGAAAGAAAGGAAUGUCUCUUUUAUUGAUACAGAUUUGUUUGGUUUUAAUUUUUUAUUUAUUCCUUUUACUGGUUUCGAAGUGAUGAUCCUUUUAUUAUUCUUUUAGCGCUUACCUUCAAAUUUUAAAUGGACAUUAUUGAGGCUUGUCAACGUCUACAAAAGUGUACUGGAAUUUUGAUUGGGAUUAUGUUGAAUCACUGGAUCAAUUUUUGGAGAACUGACAACUCAACAAUAUUGAGUGUGUAGGUUUAUAUAUGUGAUAUAGCUCUCCAUGUAUUUAGAUUUUUAGUUUCCCUCCACAAUCUUUUAUAGUUUUAAUUAAACAAAUUGCACACAUAUUUUAAAAAAUGUAUCCCUAGGUAUUUUAUUUUUGAUGCUAUUGUAAAUGCUAUUGGGCUUUUUAAAAAAUCGUUUCAAUUUUCUGUUGUUUUUGUUAAAUAUAAAAAUGCAAAUAAUUUGUGUUCAUAGACCUUAUAUCUGGAAACGUUGCUAAAUGUAUUUUUUUAUUCCAUUAGCUCUUUUGCUUAUUCCUUACUAUUUUCUUUGUGGGCAGUCAUGUCAUCUACAAAUAAACAGUUUUACUCCUUUUC